Molecule: unclassified non-coding RNA, 265 nt
Filed under: uncultured fungus
Lineage: Eukaryota; Fungi
Description: partial contains 5.8S ribosomal RNA, internal transcribed spacer 2, and large subunit ribosomal RNA
Rfam family: 5.8S ribosomal RNA (bases 1-52)
Source: RNAcentral
AACGCACAUUGCGCCCGCCAGUAUUCUGGCGGGCAUGCCUGUUCGAGCGUCAUUACAACCCUCAGGCCCCCGGGCCUGGCGUUGGGGAUCGGCGAGGCGCCCCCUGCGGGCACACGCCGUCCCCCAAAUACAGUGGCGGUCCCGCCGCAGCUUCCAUUGCGUAGUAGCUAACACCUCGCAACUGGAGAGCGGCGCGGCCACGCCGUAAAACCCCCAACUUCUGAAUGUUGACCUCGAAUCAGGUAGGAAUACCCGCUGAACUUAA